AGUCGAACGAUGAGAGGGAGCUUGCUCCCUGGAUUAGUGGCGAACGGGUGAGUAACACGUGAGUAACCUGCCCUUGACUCUGGGAUAAGCACUGGAAACGGUGUCUAAUACCGGAUACGAACUUCAGCCGCAUGGCUAGGAGUUGGAAAGAAUUUCGGUCAAGGAUGGACUCGCGGCCUAUCAGCUAGUUGGUGAGGUAAUGGCCCACCAAGGCGACGACGGGUAGCCGGCCUGAGAGGGUGACCGGCCACACUGGGACUGAGACACGGCCCAGACUCCUACGGGAGGCAGCAGUGGGGAAUAUUGCACAAUGGGCGCAAGCCUGAUGCAGCAACGCCGCGUGAGGGACGACGGCCUUCGGGUUGUAAACCUCUUUUAGUAGGGAAGAAGCAAAGUGUUUUACAUGGAGUGACGGUACCUGCAGAAAAAGCACCGGCUAACUACGUGCCAGCAGCCGCGGUAAUACGUAGGGUGCAAGCGUUAUCCGGAAUUAUUGGGCGUAAAGAGCUCGUAGGCGGUUUGUCGCGUCUGCUGUGAAAACUGGGGGCUCAACCCCCAGCCUGCAGUGGGUACGGGCAGACUAGAGUGCGGUAGGGGAGAUUGGAAUUCCUGGUGUAGCGGUGGAAUGCGCAGAUAUCAGGAGGAACACCAAUGGCGAAGGCAGAUCUCUGGGCCGUAACUGACGCUGAGGAGCGAAAGCAUGGGGAGC
This 709-nucleotide ribosomal RNA is filed under the name uncultured bacterium. Its description in RNAcentral is "bacterial SSU rRNA". It matches the Rfam family "Bacterial small subunit ribosomal RNA", at positions 60 to 769 of the family's 1533-position model. The record is from RNAcentral.